This 620-nucleotide ribosomal RNA is filed under the name Penicillium sp. BAB-3254. RNAcentral's name for it is "eukaryotic LSU rRNA". The stretch from base 207 to 360 matches the Rfam family "5.8S ribosomal RNA". Lineage: Eukaryota; Fungi; Ascomycota; Eurotiomycetes; Eurotiales; Aspergillaceae. The record is from RNAcentral.
CCGUAGGUGAACCUGCGGAAGGAUCAUUACCGAGUGAGGGCCCUCUGGGUCCAACCUCCCACCCGUGUUUAUCGUACCUUGUUGCUUCGGCGGGCCCGCCUCACGGCCGCCGGGGGGCAUCCGCCCCCGGGCCCGCGCCCGCCGAAGACACACAAACGAACUCUUGUCUGAAGAUUGCAGUCUGAGUACUUGACUAAAUCAGUUAAAACUUUCAACAACGGAUCUCUUGGUUCCGGCAUCGAUGAAGAACGCAGCGAAAUGCGAUAAGUAAUGUGAAUUGCAGAAUUCAGUGAAUCAUCGAGUCUUUGAACGCACAUUGCGCCCCCUGGUAUUCCGGGGGGCAUGCCUGUCCGAGCGUCAUUGCUGCCCUCAAGCACGGCUUGUGUGUUGGGCUCUCGCCCCCCGCUUCCGGGGGGCGGGCCCGAAAGGCAGCGGCGGCACCGCGUCCGGUCCUCGAGCGUAUGGGGCUUCGUCACCCGCUCUGUAGGCCCGGCCGGCGCCCGCCGGCGAACACCAUCAAUCUUAACCAGGUUGACCUCGGAUCAGGUAGGGAUACCCGCUGAACUUAAGCAUAUCAAUAAGCGGAGGAAAAGAAACCAACAGGGAUUGCCUCAGUAACU